GAUGAACGCUGGCGGCGUGCCUAAUACAUGCAAGUCGAGCGAACGGACGAGAAGCUUGCUUUUCUGAUGUUAGCGGCGGACGGGUGAGUAACACGUGGAUAACCUACCUAUAAGACUGGGAUAACUUCGGGAAACCGGAGCUAAUACCGGAUAAUAUUUUGAACCGCAUGGUUCAAAAGUGAAAGACGGUCUUGCUGUCACUUAUAGAUGGAUCCGCGCUGCAUUAGCUAGUUGGUAAGGUAACGGCUUACCAAGGCAACGAUGCAUAGCCGACCUGAGAGGGUGAUCGGCCACACUGGAACUGAGACACGGUCCAGACUCCUACGGGAGGCAGCAGUAGGGAAUCUUCCGAAAUGGGCGAAAGCAUGACGGAGCAACGCCGCGUGAGUGAUGAAGGUCUUCGGAUCGUAAAACUCUGUUAUUAGGGAAGAACAUAUGUGUAAGUAACUGUGCACAUCUUGACGGUACCUAAUCAGAAAGCCACGGCUAACUACGUG
Molecule: ribosomal RNA, 497 nt
Filed under: uncultured bacterium
Lineage: Bacteria
Description: partial 16S ribosomal RNA
Rfam family: Bacterial small subunit ribosomal RNA
Source: RNAcentral